Long non-coding RNA from Beta vulgaris subsp. vulgaris (sugar beet), 12370 nucleotides. RefSeq lists it as uncharacterized. The transcript has 7 exons. NCBI's taxonomy places the organism in Eukaryota, Viridiplantae, Streptophyta, Magnoliopsida, Caryophyllales, Amaranthaceae. The record is from RefSeq and is a predicted model, not a curated record.
GUUUUGCUUGCAAGUUUUACUGCGUUCCCUCCUAAACAACUAAACCCUCUAACGCUCGAGCAUUGACAAGACCAAAAUGUGCCCCUAAAUUAUCUCUAAAAAUUGAUCUCUUUACUCCAUUAUCAUACUACAGUAGUACAGUACUUCAUUUUCAAGGGUAUUAUUUUAUAUUGGUUAAUUAACCCCCAAUUAUUCAUGGUGUCUUUCUCUUGUGCUUGAGUGUAGUUUGUUUAUAAAUCGUUGCACGCAGCAGAUAUAGUGAAGCAUGAGCAAGAACAAUAGCAACAAGGACACAAGACUCUAUCUUCCUUCAGUUAGCUAUUGAUAACUUUCCAGUUUGGGGUACCACAUUGGAAAGGUGAAGGAUUAGGCCAAAGCGACAAGUAAAUAAAAAGAGGUCCUUUGUGAAACCUUGCACCGGAUUACAAUUUCCGACUGGUCGGGGGUAAGAUUAUGUACACUUAGACCUCUGUAAAUCCUGCUAUUGACUUUACUUGUUUAUUAAUUGAUAUGAGGUAAUUAUAUUUGCUCCUUGAGUUGGUCAAUUUCCCAUGAGGCCAUGACCAUGUAAUCUCCAAUUAUUUCUGCCUCCCAAACUCUCAGAUAUUGGGUGCUUGAAUUUUUUCGACUUAAGACAUAUUAAAUAAUGCCUUGGAGACUGCUGCAGAGGUAUCACCUUAAAUUGUCUCUUACUCGUGUAUUUUUAUCAAAGCUGCUUUCAACAUUCUUUUAGUUAUCAUCAAUUUCUGCUCUUAGUUCUUUUUAUUAUAGAGUUCAGCUGUUAAAAAACAACUUUGAUUUGUUAAUCACUAAACUAAAGGGUUCAGGUGACGGAAAAUCAGUUGGAACUUGGAAGAUUAUAAUAAGAAGCUUGCACUUGGCUUGUAGGAAACUCCUUUGAGAAGUUCCCUCUAAAAAUAAACGUAUGCCACUUAGUGCGGUGAGCACACGGUAUUCUUUAGUAAAAGGCGAAAGAAUAGUUCGCUCUGUGCUUGCCGCGAGGCUGCGUGGUGAUAUUAUGAACAGACUUUGUAAUAUAUGUCUGAAAGUCCUAGCUUGGAUAUGCUUUCUGAAUGCUGACUGAUGUGGGGCUGUUCUGCCUUUCCACUAUACCUCUAAUUUUUUUUGUGUAUAGCUAAGCAUUGGACCAAGAUAUACCUGAAAGCUGAUAAUGUGUUUGGAUGAGGGAAUGGAAGAGGAAAGUGAGGAAUCUAUGUUUCCUUUUUGCUGGAGAUGGGAUGAUCCUGAAACUUGAAAGAGAAAGGAAGGAAACGAGAGUGCAGGAAGUGAAGAGAUCAACUAAAGGAUGAUUGGAACCCGCUCCUUCCCUCCUCUGAUGUGAUCCCUUCCAUGACUGCUAAUAUAAGAGUGUAGGAUAUAUCUUCACUUGCUAUCUUAAACUGGUUGUUCUACAGAGACGUCCCUACAGAUCAUCUGUUGGCUGUUGCUUCCCAAUUAUGCAUAUGAGAUUCUUGGCUGUAUAUUCGAGUUUUUCUGCUCAAUAGGAAUUGGAAGUGCCUUUGGGCCAUCAGGACUAGGCCUGGUCAAUAGGCGGGUCAGUGCAGGUCACCUGAAUACUUGGACUUUUGCAGAUUAUGAGGUUGUUGGAGACCAAAUAAAUAAGUAUGUAAAACCUGGAAUUCCCACAUUGUUUAAUUAUGAUAAUAUUGCUUUAUUUAUUAGACACUAACUGCAGUGUAGCAUUGUCUCUUCGGAGACAUCUGAUAAAAUUGGAACGAUACAGAGAAGAUUAGCAUGGCCCCUGCGCAAGGAUGACACGCACAAAUCGAGAAAUGGUCCAAAUUUUUUUGCCUUUUUCUUUUGCUAUCUCUCUUAAGUUUGCUUAAGCUUUUUACCAAAAUUCCUUUUAUCAUCAUCAUUCAUAAAUAUGUCCAUCUUAUAGCACCCUUAUGUUGAAAACACUAUACAAUUUGUCCCACUUAUGUACCUCAUUUUUUUCCUUUUCACAUGGAGAUUUUCCUAUUAUUCUUAAGAAGCCAUGAGAAAGUUUUAGCUGUUGCACUUUUUUCAGUUAUAGCUGUUUGCCAAAUGAAAUGCAAUACCUUGUCAAAAGUCAUGCCUAAUAGUGAUCUUUUUCCAUUGUUUAAAAAUCAAUAACAUGAGAAAUGGCCUUAUGUUUAAGCCCUAUGAAAUUGUACUCUCUUUCACCACUCAUUGUGUGGUUUAUCUAAUGUGUUUUACUUGAAGAAAGCAUCUUUAGUCUACUAGCCUGUCGUUUAUUUUUGAGUUAUCUAAAACACGUCUGAUUAACUUCGAAUGAUACUGAUGACAUAGAAACAUGGUGGUUGUGCUUGAUGCCACUGAAAAUUUUGCUUCCUCACUUUCUGUUUCUGCUUUGCAUCAGGUUCAUUUCUGCUUAAUAUAAGGUUCUGUAAAUUGUAGAGAGUGAGACUAUUUUACUUCAGGUUCUGGUUGUUGAUCCCACAAUGAAGAGUGAAACAUAAGGUUGCAAUGACCUGUACAAUAAAAUAGAAGUAUGUGAGAUUAAGCAAUCCAUACCUUUCUCGGCCUUUUGGCUAAGAUCAAGUGUAGUAUCUGUUCUUAUCAGUUUAAUAUCUGAUACGUGGGUCAUUGACCCACAACGAUAUUAAAUUUAUUUUUAAAGGGGGAGGAUCCACCACAGUAGCUUGCUAUUGGGUUCCUUGAGCAUCGCCUAUGUGUUACACUACUGCAUUGGCCUGGUGCACCCCACUAGAUCAUUAUUCAGGAUAUUUGACACUAUUUUGUAAACUAGUAUUAAAAUUUGCACCUUUCUCUCUAUGAUGACCAUCAAAAACGGACAUUAUGUGUGUCGUUUAUGUAUUUAUAAUCAAAUGAGGACUUUUGGGCAUUGGCACCCUGAGAUUUCUUGGGCAUUUAGAAAUUACGGCUUAUGACGUUACUGGAGACUAAUAUGAUCUGAUUAUGUUGGAGUACGUGGCUUUUUUGUUUCAAGUCAAGAAUAUGCUAAACUCUAGAAGUUGCACAUUGAAAGUUGAUAAAGGUUCUGCUUCUUUACUACCAUAUGACUUGACUCGUGUCUCUUCGGAGACAUUUAAUAAAAUUGGAACGAUAUAGAGAAGAUUAGCGUGGUCCCUGCGCAAGGAUAACAUGCGCAAAUUGAGAAAUGGUCUUUCUCAAUGCUCUUAAUGAUGCUUUUUUGUAUAUGCUGGCUCUUUUUCUUCUGUUCGUCAAUCUUCAUAAGAUCUACUUCAAUCUGCAGUGUAUAAAACUCAUUUUACUGUGUAUAAUUUUUCUUAAUGUGUAAUGGUGUAUGCGGUAUUUACUGCUGGUGUACUAAGAGUAAGGUUUAGUGGAAGGAUAGGAGGCUCUUUUGAGUAAGGAGUAGAACAUAGGAUUUGAUCUGUCCUAUUGACUGGCUUGCCUCUUCUGUCAGUGGUCUAAACUCAUUUUUCAGACUCGUUACUGUGCAAAAUUGGGAUAUCCAAAGAUAAACUUGAUGCCAUAAAGAACCUUUCAAUCACUUUCUGCUUCUACAUUGUAUCAGAUAUUUCUGCUCAAUGUCUAUAUCACCAAUUCUGUAGAUUGAGACUGUAUUUCUUCAGCUUAAGACAUAUUCUGCCUCUGUUGAUCCCACAAUGAAAAGUGAAACACAAGGCUCUAAUAACCUGGUAAUAAAAAACAAGCAUGUGAGUCUGAGUAAAUCAUACCUUUCUCGGCCUUUUGGCUAAGAUCAAGUGUAGUAUCUGUUCUUAUCAGUUUAAUAUCUGAUACGUGGGUCAUUGACCCACAACGAUAUUAAAUUUAUUUUUUUAGGGGGAGGAUCUACCAAAGUAGCUUGCUAUUGGGAUCCUUGAGUAUCGCCCUUGUGUUGCACUAUUGCAUGGGCUAGGUGCACCCCCAUUAGAUCAUUAUUCAGUAUAUUUGAGACUAUCUUAUAAAAAAAUUCACAGUUCUAUAGGGAUUUCUAGAGUCUUGUGCUUUGUAGAGUUUGCACUAUGGACUAAUGGGGUCUUAAUGGAUAUGUAGUACCUCGUAUUGCUAAAAGGAUGCUGGUCUGGGAUGUAACUGAUUUACAUAAAUAGUUCUGCAUUUGUUUCCCAUGUAAUUAAAAACACUAUGUGGCCGCCAGAGUUGCAUAAAGUUAAAUUUAAUCCCUCUCUGGUAGGCAAAGACCAAAGAAUUGUCGCACUAUUUUGGGAGGUUUGUUUGGAAUAGUUACUUCUGUAAAUUCUCACUUGGUAAGGAUAGGAUAAAUAGUCAAAUGAGAAGGACUUCUGGGUUUACCACACCCUGAGAUCUUUUGGGCAUUUACAAAUUAUCAUGUUGGACAGUUGGAGUCCAUUGUAGCUGUACUGUUUCAAGUCACAAAUAAGCUAAACUCUGGAAGUUCUACCUUGAAAGUUCGUAAAGGUUCUGCUUUAGUGAUUACCCUAUGAGUUAGCUUUACUCGUGUCUCUUCGGAGACAUCUGAUAAAAUUGGAACGAUACAGAGAAGGUUAGCAUGGACCCUGCACAAGGAUGACACGCACAACUCGAGACUAGGUCCGUACUGUUUUGGCUUUUGAGUUGAAUCCUUUUCCUUCAAGUAGCUAAAUGCAGAAAGUGUAUGUGUGUUUAUCAAGCAAUGGUCUUUCUCAAUGCUCAUAAUGAUGCUUUCUUGUAUAUGUCGGCUCUUUUUCUUCUGUUCAUUAAUUUUAAUAAGAUCUACUUCAGUGUGCAAUGCAGAACACUCGUUUUGCUGUGAAAUUUUUCUUAAUAUGAAUGCAUGAAAUGCUUGACUAAGUUGUUUCUAACUCUUCCUUCUGCAAAAAUGUUGACUGCAGUCUUGUUACCUAUCAUUUGAUUACAAGUUUGCAACUGGUUGGGGGAAAGAGGAAUUGGAAACACCUUUGGGCCAUCAGGACUGAGAAGUGAUGGAAAAUCAGAUUUCACCGGUCCUGUUGAUAGCAAGACUAAAAUCAUACUUCUUGAAUGCCAGGGUUAGUACAAUGUGUUGUAAAAUCGCAUUAUGCAUUUAACUAUAUACGGUAUGUCGGUAUGUGACGAACUUACUCUUUAGCAUAUUACUGAAAUUUGAUAUACCCAAUAAAAAUGAGCACAAAAUAGUACCAUCUACGGCAUUGCUAAAGCUAUAGUCCCAGUUAAAGUGAACAAAAAGCAAAUUCAAGCUCACUUAAUUUAGAAUUCAGAAUUUGGCAAUAGAAUUGAUUAGGGGUUGCGCGAACGCAGACCCCCACUAACACAAAUUAUGACGUACACUCUUCCACUUUGGGAAGAUGUUAGGUGGGCACCCCUCCUCAAGUGCAAUGGAGGCUACCUACCUAGGCCAUGAGCCUUUAUGAUCGCCCAUCGACCCCGUCCAGGUAAGUAUGUUUACUUGUAAUCCACGACUUCAUUUUAUGCCUUUGUUGUCCUUCCUAUCUGCGUUACUUUAUUGAUGUGGGACAGGAACAAAAUCUUCUACAACAUCUUUGAACUCGGAAUUGUGGUAGGUAUUAGGCCAUCAGGUUUCGAAGUCUCUGGAGGUGACAAUGAAAUGUGUUGCAUAUGAAGUUCAGUGUAGUUGAUAUAGUAUCAUUGAUCCUCAUAUGGAAAGUAGCAUCCCCUCAUAGAUCAUCAUAUCUUGCCGUGUCUCUCAUUCCAGAAGAAUUACUUUUCAGCUUGAUGAGGCUAGGCCAUAUAAAAAAUUAACAACAAAUACCACCUUGAGCUGUUCCCUGUGAAUUAUUUAGGGAAAAGUAUUAGGGGUGUUCCAACUUUAGAAUUAUUAUUGUAUCUUACAUCUUAUAUCUUAUAUCUUAUGAAGAACCAUGUAACACAGUCGUGUCUCUAAAGAUAUAACUUGCCCUGUUUAUUUCAAAAAAGGUUAGAACUCGAGUUUUUUGUCUUGACUUUAGUUAGUUGUACAUUAUGCUCGAGUUUCUGUACUGCUCAUAUAUUAUAAAAACUUAUUAUAUUCCCUUAUCAUAUCUUAUGGACUUGCAUAUCUUAUGCCUGGUGUUAUUGUGUAGUUAAGUCUUUAAUUUUUUGACCCUUGGAUAUUCUCAAGGUUAGGUCUUUAAAGAUAAUGCUUGUCUAUAUAAGUUGCCUGGAUGCUUUGGGUGUAAAACCUGAAAUUCUCACAUUCAAAGAUUAAUAAACAACUUCUUUGUUUAUUAUGCAGAGACUAUAGCAUAAGGUUGUCUCUUCGGAGACAUCUGAUAAAAUUGGAACGAUACAGAGAAGAUUAGCAUGUCCCCUGUGCAAGGAUGACACGCACAAAUCCAGAAAUGGUCCAAAAUUUUUGACCCUUUUUACCACUUACUGCAGGAUAUCUAUGAAAAACUUACCACCUGGAACGACAUAUAGUUGUGAGAUAUACCGUAUACCAGCUUGCUAUUGCACUGAGAGAUAUCAAGUGUUUCCCAGAAUCUUUGGUUUGGGUGAUUUGACAUACAUAUAGAGAUAUUGGACAAUAAUUUGUAAGUAACUCCAUAGCUUUUAUAUAGUGCUAUUGUUUUUCUCUUUUUUAUACUUUUUCUUUUUAGGUAACAACGGAACUUGAGCUUGGUCCUAUGCCAUGGCUUAGUGACAAGUAGUAGCAGGAUUUCCCUCCCAGGUCCAUCUGACUGACUUGGUGUUUAUCCUAUGCCAUGGCUUAGUGACAAGUAGUACCAGGAUUUCCCUCAACUCUCAAGAUGCCUGUAAUAGGACUUAACCCAUGGCGUUUAUAUAAUUACUCAUCACACCCCAUUUUUCAUUUGUAUAACCCUGUAUUACAAAUAUAAAAUUUAUAGAAUGUUUUUAAAGAAAAAAUUGACAUCUAGACAGAAUCUUCAAUAUAAAAUGCUGGUUGGGGAGGUUAGUUAUAAUGUUAUAUAAGAUUAUUUACCUCCGUAACAUUGUCUCCAAAAUCGUUAAUUUUAUGCACGUUUUACAAGUUGGGAGUUAUAUGAGUUAUGAGAUAGACAUGCAAAUGUGAGGGUCAUUAUAAAAUAAUGAUCUAAUACACAUGGUUACCUCAUGUAAUUUCCAAAAAAAAUGGCUAGUCAUAAAGUUGUCACUACUUCAGAUGUUGUGAUAUGUAACUUGAUUUUAUUAGGCUGUAAAUUAAAUUGUGUUGUUUAUUAAAAUUGAUGAUCUCACAUCUUAAGUGAACUCAUAUAUUAGUGAUUAAGUGUUUCCUCCGCCCCCCUAAAGAGUAAAGAGAGGGAAAAUUAAAAUGAAUGAUUUGAACUAUGGCUGAUUUUAUAAUAAUAAUCUCAAUCAUAUAUUAUUCCAAAAUAAUCUCAAUUCUCAACUAUGAAGGUUGUCUUCUCUAAUCAAUCUAGUGACCUGAAAUUACCGAAUUAAAUGGUGAGAUAAUGAAGGUUGUUGUAUGUUUAGGUUUUCAAAUCCUUUUUAUAUAUCAUUUGUACCAGUAAUGGUUGCUUUUUUUGCGCACCCCGUUACAUAGGAGAUUUGCUACUUCUACUUUAUAAUAUAAGGCCUAUAACAAGUUUCUGUUUCCUGUUUGAUAAUUUAAGUGGUUUAGGAAAAUCCAUUAUUUUGUUUACAAUUUCUAGAUUAUCCUUAUAUUGUCCACUUAAUACCAUUUCAUGCAAUGUUCAAAAAUUAUAUUUUAGUUAUUAUAAGCCUACAUGGCUAACGUCUUGUAUUUUUGGGCUAUCUGAAAUACAUCUGGUGAGUUUGCAAUGGUUCUGGCAAAAAAACAUGAUUGUCCUACAUAUAGCUAUGGAUCAAUUAUAGUUUGGCGGUCCCAUAUUGGGAGGGUGAUGGUUAGGACGGAAGGCCAAAGCAAUGAGAAUAAAUAGUUCUGCCUAAUAAACUAAUACAACAGUUAGUGAGGGAGGGUGAUGCUCUGCAAUUCUGCAUUUAAAGCUAAUGUCAGUCUAAGAUGGUAUAAAAAGUUCAAGGACUUAACUAGUAUUUGAGCUCAGGUGAUUCCUUGGGUUUUCUCUGUGCUACAAUUUAGUAGUAGUUAAAUAAGUCAUCUCAUUCAUUAUAUGGAUUUCAAAAGUUUUCCUUUCAUAUAUCAUCAUUAAUUUUGAUUGAAAAAGCAAUAAUGAUAUUGGUGGAGUAAUGGUUGGAUCUCUUUCUUUCAUACUCGAGGUUGGUUCGAAUCUUCACGUCAACAAACUUCUUUUUUUUUUACUAUAUGAGAAAGACGUGGAUAGAAUGUUAUUGAAUGAGGGAUGGUGACACGUGACACAUAUACGUUCAUAGGAACACCUUUUAAUGUAUUAGUAUAGAUUACACAUUAGCUAGCGCUUCAUAAUAGUGCAGUAGCAGGGUUCAGAGACAGAAUUACAUAGGUCUACCAGACUUUUUGAUCUUAUUCCACUUAUUUUCUGUUUGAUCUUAUUCCAUCUGAAAGCUUUCUCUGGUUCCAGGUUGUUUAUUAUGUAUGGUAUAAUUUUCUUUUUGAUGUUAUUCAGUCUUUUUUUUCAAUAUCAAGUACAAGAUUACAUAGGUCUACUCUGUCUCUAGGCCUAAACUAAACCUUCCUCCAACCACAUAAACAUGCUCCUCUCAAAGUUUGAUCCUUGGUCAUCGUUGUGGAAGGUGAGCAUGAUUCCAAAGCUAAAGCUGAAUUGGUGGAAAUGUAGUAUGUUUAUGGUUUUUCUUAUGUAGCAGCCUUUCCUGAUUGAUGCUUUCCUGUAGACAUCUGUGUCCUUCUUAAGGAAAAAAAAUUAGGUGGAAACAUAGAAGAAUAGUAGGGCUCCUGUCUGACCUUCCAUAUAAGUUUAUUAGUAAAAAUUAUACACUAUUUUGUGUACAUUUGUUAGAGAUAUAUUAGGAUACUAAAGAUAUGAUAAAUAUCUUUAGAAUAUAUUAGUAGUUAGGAUAUUAAUUAUCUUAGAGAAAUAUUAUCUUAUGAUUUAUUUUAGAUAAGUAUUAAGAAUAAUAUAUCUUCUAGAGAUGGUUUCCGAAUAGGAGUUUCUAUGUACUUCUAUAUAUAUUGUAGUCAUCGUUCAUUAUUAAACACACCACAAUAAAAUCAUAUUGUUUUUCUCCCCUCAUAAACUUGUCAUGGUAUCAAGAGCUGGUUAGAUCUUGGGGAGAGUUUACAAAAAUUUCCCCCUACCGGUGGGUUAGAGAGUUAAACCCACCGGUGGGAUGAACGAACCACCAAAAAAAAAAAAAAAAAAAGACGAAAUUGACGAAUAUAUGAGAAUUGCGUGAGAUUUGUGAGAGUUCACAAAUUUAGAAGAUCUUACAUAUAUUUGUGUGGGAUUUGUGAGGGUUUUAUUUUGAUUUUUUUUAUAAAAAAAAAAAGGAAAAAAAAAAGAAGAAAAGAAAGAAAGUACGACAAAAAGAUUGAAGUCUGAAGACCAAGAAAACUACAAAAACCGAUUACCCCGAGUGAUUGGAGGACCGUGGCCGUGGAGGACUAGGUAGAGACCGUAGUGAUGGAGGUGUAGCACGGUGGUGGUCGUGGGGGCAGCAGCGCAGGCAGCGAGCAGUUCUCGGACCCCAGACAGCAGCUCCAACGAGUCUUCGUCCUCGCCACACAAGCAUGUUCGAGCCAACAAAGUGGUUGGACAGUAGCAGCAAACCUUGUAUAUUUCCUUGGCUCCAGUAAGACGUGGUCCUGGCCGGGAUGGUAGACAAGGAGGGGAGCAUGACAGAGGUGGACGUGGAGCAUGCAAUUAGGCAGCAGCUCUUCGACGUUGAAGUCAUCUCUAUUAUUAUCUACAGGUUUGAAAAGAACGACGAUCCUGUGUUAAAUUGAAGUGAGCGAUGAUUUUGCUCAAGAAGAAAGAAGAAAAACAACUAUGCAGGUUCGAAAAGAAAGACGUUCUCGUAUUGUUGAGAGAUUAUAUCAGCAGGUUCGAAAAGAAUGACGUUCCUGUUUGAUUGUUGAUUGAUAGGUUCGAAAACAAUGGUGUUCCUAUUUGAUUGUUGAUUAAUGGGUUCGAAAAGAAUGGCGUUCCCGUUUUGCUGAAAUAUUUGGUGAGAUCGAAAAGAAUGGCGUUCUCAUUAAGAAAAAAAAUUGCAGAUUCGAAAAGCGUCCCUGUUUGACUGGCGAGUGAUGGAUUUGAAAAGAUUGACGUUUUCAUCAUCAAGACAAAGAAAAUUACGGGUUCGAGAAGAAUGACGUUCCCGAUUUAUUGAAAUAUUUGGUGAGUUAGUUCGAAAAGAAUUGGCGUUCUCAUCAAGAAGAAGAAAAAAAUUGGUGGAUUCGAAAAGAAUGGCGUUCCCAACUAUAUAUCCAUUUAAUUUGAUUUGACUUAUUUUUUUUUUUGUUUCUCCAAUCGCAACGUUCGUAUUACUGCCGUUGCGAUUGCGGGAGGGUGUUAGAGAUAUAUUAGGAUACUAAAGAUAUGAUAAAUAUCUUUAGAAUAUAUUUGUAGUUAGGAUAUUAAUUAUCUUAGAGAAAUAUUAUCUUAUGAUUUAUUUUAGAUAAGUAUUAAGAAUAAUAUAUCUUCUAGAGAUGGUUUCCGAAUAGGAGUUUCUAUGUACUUCUAUAUAUAUUGUAGUCAUCGUUCAUUAUUAAACACACCACAAUAAAAUCAUAUUGUUUCUCUCCCCUCAUAAACUUGUCAACAUUUUAUAUUUUUACGUUUAGAUUUCAUGCAAUGUUUAUAAAGGAUAUAUCUGACCUCCUUUUUUUGAGAUAAAUCUGAUUUAAAUACUUAUAGCCUUAAUAGUCUUAUAUUAUAAACUAUUCUUGUCAUGCUCUUAAUUAUCUUAUAUUAUAUGUGAUCUCCUUUUUUCCUUCAGCCGUCCAUUUUCUAUAUAAUUCUGCCAUUUUCAGAAAAAUUGUUAAACAUAUUACAUAAAUUUUACCAGGCUCUUGAUGUGUCCUUGAGAGCCAUCAUUCUAAGAGACUGCUGCAAGUUAUUGCUAAAAUAAUGUCUAAAUGCAAACUUAUAAGCUUAUUGCUCUGAUUUUCUGUACUCAAGUUGGUGGUGGCAUUGAUUUCAGCUGUAAAAAAUUAUAUCUACUCUCUUUCUUUAUUGCUAAAAGAAGGGUUGGGUUGGGUUCGUUGAGGGAAGAAGAUAAAUUGAAAAGAAGAAAGGCUUGCAUUCCCGAGCCUUUAACUAAGAAUAUUGGUCUUUGAUGACCCAACAGAUGGAAAGCUAAUAAUAUGGAUUUCACUUGGCUUGUUGGAAGCUGAUAAUAUGAAUUUCACUUGGCUUGUUGGAAGCUCCUUAGUUCGCGUUGUAGCUUCUGCAACAGUUGAUUACUACUUAGUGUAUUGUUGCAAAGGUUUGAGAUCAAAUUGAUUAGGGGUUGCGCGGACGCAGACCCCACUAACACAAAUUAUGACGUACACUCUUCCUCAUUGGGAAGAUGUUAGGCAAGCAUCCCUCCCAAAGUGCAAUGGAGGCCACCUGCCUAGGCCAUGAGCCUUUUUGAUGGCCUAUCGACCCCGCCCAGGUAAGUAGUUUUGACAAUAUUCCAUGACUUCAAUUUAUGUCUAUGGUGCUCUUCCCAUUUCUGUUUUUCAUUGAUAUGGGACAGGACUGAAUCUCCCGGCACAUAUUUGAACUUGGAAUUGUGGUAGAGGUCAUUAUACCAUCAAGUAUCAAAGUCUGCGAUGGUGACAUUGAUGUAGCUUGCAUCUAAAGUUCUCUCCAUGUGAUAUAGGGUCACGGAUUUCUCAUAUCGUAUGCAGAAGCACCUCCUAGCUUGUCAUAUCGUGCUGUUCUCUCUUUGCAGGACAUGUUGUCAGUUUGGUCAUGCAUUUGGCACAGUAUCUAAGAGCAUUUGAAGUAUGUAAUGAAGUGAAGAAGAUGCUUUGGAGUUGAUUUAAGGCAACAUGGUCUUUAAAAAAUUUCUGUAGCUUCUUUACCAUAUGACCCUCAGAAAUGUUUCCAGUCUUUCCUGAUUAUUGACAAUGACAUAAUUAAAACUUUGGCAUCAUAGCACAGGGAACCAAAGAGACGUGGUACAUUAGAAACAGCCUUUUUGCUUUGCCAGGGUUAUAGUUGUGUUUUUUGUCAACUCGGAAAGAUUCCAUGUGACACAGUUGCGUCGUCUUCCUUUCAUCGUGGCUACAUUUAAAGGGUUCGUUGAAUUUAUUUGUACAAAUGUUUACAGACUAGAGCUUGUUGCAUAUUCUAGAGUAGAAGAGUUGUUGAUGAUUGAUAUCAUGCUUUAAUAUUUGAGCAAGGCAUGUAUUAUUCCAUUCAGUGAGCUUUGCCAAUGAGAAAUUUUUUCAAUUGGCUUGUGUGAUGGAUGGUUAAAGGCUAUUGCGGACUUGCAUAUCUUAUGCCCAGUGCAGUAACAUUCUUCAGCACUGGUAACAUUAUUCAAACAUUAGAUAAUAUCCGUGUUUUUUAGCUUUCGAUCUCUUUUCCUCGAGGCUUGGGGUGUCUCUUGCCACUUGCCAGUUCCUUUUCUUACAUUUUGUAAAAACUUAGAUAUUUGGUUGAGAAAGAACAAGACUAGUUUUGCCUUGUAAGUUAUAGGUUCU